Molecule: long non-coding RNA, 1237 nt
Organism: Bufo gargarizans (Asiatic toad)
Lineage: Eukaryota; Metazoa; Chordata; Amphibia; Anura; Bufonidae
Exons: 4
Source: RefSeq, a predicted model, not a curated record
UGACGGAGGAGGUGUGACUGGGAAGCACAGUGCAGGGAACUGGGAUGGUGAAGGAGGUGUGACAGGGAGCCAGAGCUGUGGAGGGAACUUGUGACUGCAGAUUCGUGUGGAGGGAAUCGAGAAGGACGUGUGGCAGGUUGUCUACUCCAGAGAAAUAGAAUUCCUUAGAAGAACCUGCGAAAGACUGUAGAAGCAGCCUCCUUACAAGGCGAGAGAAGCUCUGCAGAUUUGCUUUUUACAGGCUGCUCAUUACCAGGCUGCGUAAAACACAUUCUCGUGUCACAUAAGAGACGGUGUAAAAGAAAUCCUAGCUAUACUGUGACAGAUUGUCCUGCCUGUGGUGCUUCCUCUUCUUUGCUCAGCCAGUGACGCCGAUUACGUCAGUGAUCCAGCAUCAUCGGGCAGGUUCCACCAGUGCUCUCCGGAGGGAUCAACCUCGGUUACAGUGAUGCUUACACAUGUACCCAGUGUGGCAAGUAUUGUUUUACUUUUCAUAUAUAUAUAUUUUUUAUUUCACCUUAAUAGUCUGUUUUUUUGUUAGUUGCCCAGCGCCAGUAAGUGUACGUACGUUUAUAGCUAGCUCUACAGUAUUAUUGGAGUAUCUCCACAAUGCUGGGACUCUCAUGUAUCAGUUGUUAUGUUGGUUUCUUUUUGGUGUUAAAGAGGUUCUCACUUCAGUAAGUGGCAUUUAUCAUGUAGACAAAGUUAAUACAAGGCACCUACUAAUGUAUUGUGAUUGUCCAUAUUGCCGGCUGGAUUCUGGUAUCCAAUAGUUAUGGCCACUGCUGCAGUGCAGAUAGGAGGUGACUGGGACAGGAAGGGUGCCUAUGCAUGCUCCCGGCCACCAGAGAGGAUGGUGCUUUUCCUAUAGUGUGCGAGCACGGCCACCACUGCUGGAUUUUAGCGUGGUCAUAACGCCUGCAUAUGAGCAGUGUAUAAUGUGAUAGAAAAAUGAAUCCAGCCAACAAAGGAAGCAAUAUGAAUUACUGUCUCCUGUUUACAAUGAGCUGGAGACAGACAAGCCGUAGUAACAGUCUUUUAAGGGAGCAGUGGAAAGGGACAGGGGACAUUCAUGAAAGUUGUUAUUAUAAGGUAAUUACAGAUCUUUUGACAAUCAUUGACUGACUAAUUCAGGUAUUCGUGCCUAGCUCUAAUAAACUAGCAAAUAAAAAUAAAAAAAUGACAUUUACACUUUAACUUUAGAUGUUGAAUAUAAGUGGAAAUUGCUACAAGUUAA